GAUGAACGCUGGCGGCGUGCUUAACACAUGCAAGUCGAACGGAAAGGCCAGUGCUUGCACUGGUACUCGAGUGGCGAACGGGUGAGUAACACGUGGGUGAUCUGCCCUGUACUUCGGGAUAAGCUUGGGAAACUGGGUCUAAUACCGGAUAGGACAACUUUUUGGAUAUUGUUGUGGAAAGCUUUUGCGGUAUGGGAUGAGCUCGCGGCCUAUCAGCUUGUUGGUGGGGUAAUGGCCUACCAAGGCGUCGACGGGUAGCCGGCCUGAGAGGGUGUACGGCCACAUUGGGACUGAGAUACGGCCCAGACUCCUACGGGGGGCAGCAGUGGGGAAUAUUGCACAAUGGGCGCAAGCCUGAUGCAGCGACGCCGCGUGGGGGAUGAAGGCCUUCGGGUUGUAAACUCCUUUCGCUAGGGACGAAGCUUUUUUGUGACGGUACCUGGAGAAGAAGCACCGGCUAACUACGUG
RNAcentral lists this ribosomal RNA (468 nucleotides) under uncultured bacterium. RNAcentral's name for it is "partial 16S ribosomal RNA". It matches the Rfam family "Bacterial small subunit ribosomal RNA", at positions 28 to 507 of the family's 1533-position model. The record is from RNAcentral.